UCCUCUGCGCAAAUCCCCCAUUUAACUCGAAAAUGACGCGUUUUCUCUUUGCAAAUCCCCCAUUUAAGCGAAAAUCACGCGUUUUCUCUUCGCAAAUCCCCCAUUUAACUCGAAAAUGACGCGUUUUCUCUUCGCAAAUCCCCCAUUUAACUCAAAAAAUGACGCGUUUUUCUCUUCACAAAUCCCCCAUUUAACCAAUAAUCACGUGUUUUCUCUUCGAGAAUCCCUUUUCUAACCAGAAAAUCACGCAUUUUCUCUUCGAGAAUCCCCCAUUUAACCGAAAAUCACUCGUUUUCUCUUCGAGAAUCCCCAUUUAACCAAAAAUCACGCGUCUUCUCUUUGGAAAUUGCCCAUUUAAGCGAAAAUCAUGCAUUUUCUUUUCGAGAAUCCCGCUUUUAACCUGAAAAUAACACGUUUUCUCUUCGCGAAUCCCCCAUUUAACCCGAAAAUCACGCGUUUUCUCUUCCCAAAUCCCCCAUUUAAGCGAAAAUCACGCGUUUUCUCUUCACAAAUCCCACAUUUAACCCGAAAAUGACUCAUUUUCUAUUCACAAAUCCCCCAUUUAAGCGAAAAUCACGCAUUUUCUCUUCGGAAUCCCCCAUUUAACCCGAAAAUCACGCGUUUUCUCUUCGAGAAUCCCCAUUUAACCCGAAAAUCACGCGUUUUCUCUUCGCAAAUCCCCAUUUAAGCGAAAAUCACGCGUUUUCUCUUCGCAAAUCCCCCAUUUAAGCGAAAAUCACGCGUUUUCUCUUCGCAAAUCCCCCAUUUAACGAAAAUCACGCGUUUUCUCUUCGAGAAUCCCCCAUUUAACCGAAAAUCACGCGUUUUCUCUUCGAGAAUCCCCCAUUUAACCGAAAAUCACGCGUUUUCUCUUCGCAAAUCCCCCAUUUAAGCCGAAAAUCACGCGUUUUCUCUUCGCAAAUCCCCCAUUUAAGCGAAAAUCACGCGUUUUCUCUUCGCAAAUCCCCCAUUUAACUCGAAAAUCACGCGUUUUCUCUUCGCAAAUCCCCCAUUUAAGCGAAAAUCACGCGUUUUCUCUUCGCAAAUCCCCCAUUUAACUCGAAAAUCACGCGUUUUCUCUUCGCAAAUCCCCCAUUUAAGCGAAAAUCACGCGUUUUCCUCUCGCAAAUCCCCCAUUUAACCGAAAAUCACGCGUUUUCUCUUCGCAAAUCCCCCAUUUAACCGAAAAUCGCGUUUUCUCUUCGCAAAUCCCUCAUUUAAGCGAAAAUCACGCGUUUUCUCUUCGCAAAUCCCCCAUUUAACCGAAAAUCACGUGUUUUCUCUUCGCAAAUCCCCCAUUUAACCCGAAAAUCACGCGUUUUCUCUUCGCAAAUCCCCCAUUUAACGCGAAAAUCACGCGUUUUCUCUUCGCAAAUCCCCCAUUUAAGCGAAAAUCACGCGUUUUCUCUUCGCAAAUCCCCCAUUUAACUCGAAAAUCACGCGUUUUCUCUUCGAAAUCCCCCAUUUAACGCGAAAAUCACGCGUUUCUCCUUCGCAAAUCCCCAUUUAACCCGAAAAUCACGCGUUUUCUCUUCGAAAUCCCCCAUUUAAGCCAAAAUCACGCGUUUUCUCUUCGAGAAUCCCCCAUUUAAGCGAAAAUCACGCGUUUUCUCUUCGCAAAUCCCCCAUUUAAGCGAAAAUCACUGCGUUUUCUCUUCGAAUCCCCAUUUAACCCGAAAAUCACGCGUUUUCUCUUCGCAAAUCCCCCAUUUAAGCCAAAAUCACGCGUUUUUCUCUUCGAGCAAUCCCCCAUUUAAGCGAAAAAUCACGCGUUUUCUCUUCGCAGAAUCCCCCAUUUAACCUGAAAAUCACGCGUUUUCUCUUCGAGAAUCCCCCAUUUAACCGAAAAUCACGCGGUUUUCCUCUUCGCAAAUCCCCCAUUUAAGCGAAAAUCACGCGUUUUCCUCUUCGCAAAUCCCCCAUUUAAGCCGAAAAUCACGCUGUUUUCUCUUCGCAAAUCCCCCAUUUAAGCGAAAAUCACGCGUUUUCUCUUCGAGAAUCCCCCAUUUAAGCGAAAAUCACGCGUUUUUCUCUUCGCAAAUCCCCCAUUUAAGCUGAAAAUCACGCGUUUUCUCUUCGCAAAUCCCCAUUUAAGCGAAAAUCACGCGUUUUCUCUUCGCAGAAUCCCCCAUUUAAGCGAAAAUCACGCGUUUUCUCUUCGCAAAUCCCCCAUUUAACGCGAAAAUCACGCGUUUUCUCUUCGCAAAUCCCCCAUUUAAGCGAAAAUCACGCGUUUUCUCUUCGCAGAAUCCCCCAUUUAACGAAAAAUCACGCGUUUUCUCUUCGCAAAUCCCCCAUUUAAGCGAAAAUCACGCGUUUUCUCUUCGCAAAUCCCCCAUUUAACCGAAAAUCACGCGUUUUCUCUUCGAAAUCCCCCAUUUAAGCGAAAAUCACGCGUUUUCUCUUCGCAAAUCCCCCAUUUAACGAAAAUCACGCGUUUUCUCUUUCGCAAAUCCCCCAUUUAAGCCGAAAAUCACGCGUUUUCUCUUCGCAAAUCCCCCAUUUAAGCGAAAAUCACGCGUUUUCUCUUCGAGAAUCCCCCAUUUAAGCCGAAAAUCACGCGUUUUCUCUUCGCAAAUCCCCCAUUUAACCCGAAAAUCACGCGUUUUCUCUUCGCAAUCCCCAUUUAAGCGAAAAUCACUGCGUUUUCUCUUCGCAAAUCCCCCAUUUAAGCGAAAAUCACGCGUUUUCUAUUCACAAAUCCCCCAUUUAAGCGAAAAUCACGCAGUUUUCUCUUCGGAAAUCCCCCAUUGAAGCGAAAAUCACGCAUUUUCUCUUCGAGAAUCCCCCAUUUAACCCGAAAAUCACGCGUUUUCUCUUCGAGAUUCCCCAUUUAAGCCGAAAAUCACGCGUUUUCUCUUUGCAAAUCCACCUUUUAACCGAAAAUCACGUUUCUUUUUGAGAAUCCCCCAUUUAAGCGAAAAUCACGCGUUUUCCUCUUCGCUAAUACCCCAUUUAACUAAAAUCACGCGUUUUCUCAUCAAGAAUCCCCCAUUUAAGCGAAAAUCAGGUAUUUUCGCUUCGCAAAUCCCCCAUUUAAGCGAAAAUCAUGUGUUUUCUCUUCGAGAAUCCCCCAUUUAACCCGAAAAUCACGCGUUUUCUCUUCGCAAAUCCCCCAUUUAAGCAAAAAUCACGCAUUUUCUCCUCGAGAAUCCCCCAUUUAACUUAAAAAUCACGCGUUUUCUCUUCGCAAAUCCCCCAUUUAAGCAAAAAUCACGCGUUUUCUCUUCGAGAAUCCCCCAUUUAACCCGAAAAUCACGCGUUUUCUCUUCGCAAAUCCCCCAUUUAACCCGAAAAAUCACGCGUUUUCUCUUCGCAAAUCCCCCAUUUAAGCAAAAAUCACGCGUUUUUCUCGUCGCAAAUCCCCCAUUUAAGCAAAAAUCACGCGUUUUCUCUUCGCAAAUCCCCCAUUUAACCCGAAAAUCACACGUUUUCUCUUUGCAAAUCCCCCAUUUAAGCGAAAAUCACGCGUUUUCCUCUUCGCAUAUCUUCCCAUUUAAGCGAAAAUCACGCGUUUUCUCUUCGAGAAUCCCCCAUUUAAGCGAAAAUCACGCAGUUUUCUCUUCGCACAUCCCCCAUUUAACCCGAAAAUCACGCGUUUUCUCUUCGCAAAUCCCCCAUUUAACUGAAAAUCACGCGUUUUCUCUUCGCAAAUCCCCCAUUUAAGUGAAAAUCACGCAUUUUCCUCUUCGCAAAUCCCCCAUUUAAGCGAAAAUCACGCGUUUUCUCUUCGCAAAUCCCCCAUUUAACCCGAAAAUCACGCGUUUUCUCUUCGCAAAUCCCCCAUUUAAGCAAAAAUCACGCGUUUUCUCUUCGCAAAUCCCCAUUUAACCCGAAAAUCACGCGUUUUCUCUUCACAAAUCCCCCAUUUAAGCGAAAAUCACGCGUUUUCUCUUCGCAAAUCCCCCAUUUAAGCGAAAAUCACGCAGUUUUCUCCUCGAGAAUCCCCCAUUUAACUUGAAAAUCACGCGUUUUCUCUUCGCAAAUCCCCCAUUUAAGCGAAAAUCACGCGUUUUCUCUUCGAGAAUCCCCCAUUUAACCCGAAAAUCACGCGUUUUCUCUUCGCAAAUCCCCCAUUUAACCCGAAAAUCACGCGUUUUCUCUUCGCAAAUCCCCCAUUUAAGCAAAAAUCACGCGUUUUCUCUUCGCAAAUCCCCCAUUUAAGCGAAAAUCACGCGUUUUCCUCUUCGCAAAUCCCCCAUUUAAGCCGAAAAUCACAGCGUUUUCUCUUCGCAAAUCCCCCAUUUAAGCGAAAAUCACGCGUUUUCUCUUCGCAUAAUCUCCCCAUUUAAGCGAAAAUCACGCGUUUUCUCUUCGAGAAUCCCCCAUUUAAGCGAAAAUCACGCGUUUUCUCUUCGCAAAUCCCCCAUUUAACCGAAAAUCACGCGUUUUCUCUUCGCAAAUCCCCCAUUUAAGCUGAAAAUCACGCGUUUUCUCUUCGCAAAUCCCCCAUUUAACCAAAAAUCACGCAUUUUCUCUUCGAGAAUCCCCCAUUUAACCGAAAAUCACGCGUUUUCUCUUUGCAAAUUCCCCAUUUAAGCAAAAAUCACGUGUUUUCUCUUCGAGAAUCCCCCAUUUAAGCGAAAAUCACGCGUUUUCUCUUCGUAAAUCCCCCAUUUAACUUGAAAAUCAAGCGUUUUCUCUUCGCAAAUCCCCCAUUUAACCCGAAAAUCACGCGUUUUCUCUUCGCAAAUCCCCCAUUUAAGCGAAAAUCACACGUUUUCUCUUCACAAAUCCCCCAUUUAAGCAAAAAUCACGCGUUUUCUCUUCGCAAAUCCCCCAUUUAACCCGAAAAUCACGCGUUUUCUCUUCGAGAAUCCCCCAUUUAAGUGAAAAUCACGCGUUUUCUCUUCGCAAAUCCCCCAUUUAACCGAAAAUCACGCGUUUUCUCUUCGAGAAUCCCCCAUUGAACCCGAAAAACACACGUUUUCUCUUCGCAAAUCCCCCAUUUAAGCAAAAAUCACGCGUUUUCUCUUCGCAAAUCCCCCAUUUAACCGAAAAUCACGCGUUUUCUCUUCGCAAAUCCCCCAUUUAAGCGAAAAUCAUGCGUUUUCUCUUCGCAAAUCCCCCAUUUAAGCCGAAAAUAACGCGUUUUCUCUUCGAGAAUCCCCCAUUUAACCCAAAAAUCAUGCGUUUUCUCUUCGAGAAUCCCCCAUUUAAGCGAAAAUCACGCGUUUUCUCUUCGCAAAUCCCCCAUUUAACCCGAAAAUCACGCGUUUCCUCUUUAGAAUCCCCACUUUAACUUAAAAAUCACGCAUUUUCUCUUCGCAAAUCCCCCAUUUAAGCAAAAAUCACGCGUUUUCUCUUCGAGAAUUUUCCAUUUAAGGGAAAAUCACGCAUUUUCUCUUUGCAAAUCUCCCAUUUAAGCGAAAAUCACGCGUUUUCUCUUCGCAAAUCCCCCAUUUAACCCGAAAAUCACGCGUUUUCUCUUCGCAAAUCCCCCAUUUAAGCGAAAAAUCACGCGUUUUCUCUUCGCAAAUCCCCCAUUUAAGCGAAAAUCACGCGUUUUCUCUUCGCAAAUCCCCCAUUUAAGCGAACAUCACGCGUUUUCUCUUCGCAAAUCCCCCAUUUAACCCGAAAAUCACGCGUUUUCUCUUCGCAAAUCCCCCAUUUAACCCGAAAAUCAAGCGUUUUCUCUUUGCAAAUCCCCCAUUUAACCCGAAAAUCACGCGUUUUCUCGUCGCAAAUCCCCCAUUUAAGCAAAAAUCACGCGUUUUCUCUUCGCAAAUCCCCCAUGUUACCCGAAAAUCACGCGUUUUCUCUUCGAGAAUCCCCCAUUUAAGUGAAAAUCACGCGUUUUCUCUUCGCAAAUCCCCCAUUUAAGCAAAAAUCACGCGUUUUCUCUUCGAGAAUCCCCCAUUGAACCCGAAAAACACACGUUUUCUCUUCGCAAAUCCCCCAUUUAAGCAAAAAUCACGUGUUUUCUCUUCGCAAAUCCCCCAUUUAACCGAAAAUCACGCGUUUUCUCUUCGCAAAUCCCCCAUUUAAGCGAAAAUCACGCGUUUUCUCUUCGCAAAUCCCCCAUUUAAGCGAAAAUCACGCGUUUUCUCUUCACAAAUCCCCCAUUUAAGCAAAAAUCACGCGUUUUCUCUUCGCAAAUCCCCCAUUUAAGCGAAAAUCACGCGUUUUCUCUUCGAGAAUCCCCCAUUUAAGUGAAAAUCACGCGUUUUCUCUUCGCAAAUCCCCCAUUUAACCCGAAAAUCACGCGUUUUCUCUUCGAGAAUCCCCCAUUGAACCCGAAAAACACGCGUUUUCUCUUCGAGAAUCCCCCAUUUAAGCAAAAAUCACGCGUUUUCUCUUCGCAAAUCCCCCAUUUAAGCGAAAAUCACGCGUUUUCUCUUCGCAAAUCCCCCAUUUAAGCGAAAAUCAUGCGUUUUCUCUUCGCAAAUCCCCCAUUUAAGCCGAAAAUAACGCGUUUUCUCUUCGAGAAUCCCCCAUUUAACCCAAAAAUCAUGCGUUUUCUCUUCGAGAAUCCCCCAUUUAAGCGAAAAUCACGCGUUUUCUCUUCGCAAAUCCCCCAUUUAACCCGAAAAUCACGCGUUUCCUCUUUAGAAUCCCCACUUUAACUUAAAAAUCACGCAUUUUCUCUUCGCAAAUCCCCCAUUUAAGCAAAAAUCACGCGUUUUCUCUUCGAGAAUUUUCCAUUUAAGGGAAAAUCACGCAUUUUCUCUUUGCAAAUCUCCCAUUUAAGCGAAAAUCACGCGUUUUCUCUUCGCAAAUCCCCCAUUUAACCCGAAAAUCACGCGUUUUCUCUUCGCAAAUCCCCCAUUUAAGCGAAAAAUCACGCGUUUUCUCUUCGCAAAUCCACCAUUUAAGCGAAAAUCACGCGUUUUCUCUUCGCAAAUCCCCCAUUUAAGCGAACAUCACGCGUUUUCUCUUCGCAAAUCCCCCAUUUAACCCGAAAAUCACGCGUUUUCUCUUCGCAAAUCCCCCAUUUAACCCGAAAAUCACGCGUUUUCUCUUCGCAAAUCCCCCAUUUAAGCAAAAUCACGCGUUUUCUCUUCGCAAAUCCCCCAUUUAAGCAAAAAUCACGCGUUUUCUCUUCGCAAAUCCCCCAUUUUACCCGAAAAUCACGCGUUUUCUCUUCGAGAAUCCCCCAUUUAAGUGAAAAUCACGCGUUUUCUCUUCGCAAAUCCCCCAUUUAACCCGAAAAUCACGCGUUUUCUCUUCGAGAAUCCCCCAUUUAAGCCGAAAAUCACACGUUUUCUCUUCGCAAAUCCCCCAUUUAAGCGAAAAUCACGCGUUUUCUCUUCGCAAAUCCCCCAUUUAAGCGAAAAUCACGCGUUUUCUCUUCGCAAAUCCCCCAUUUAAGCGAAAAUCAUGCGUUUUCUCUUCGCAAAUCCCCCAUUUAAGCCGAAAAUAACGCGUUUUCUCUUCGAGAAUCCCCCAUUUAACCCAAAAAUCAUGCGUUUUCUCUUCGAGAAUCCCCCAUUUAAGCGAAAAUCACGCGUUUUCUCUUCGCAAAUCCCCCAUUUAACCCGAAAAUCACGCGUUUCCUCUUUAGAAUCCCCACUUUAACUUAAAAAUCACGCAUUUUCUCUUCGCAAAUCCCCCAUUUAAGCAAAAAUCACGCGUUUUCUUUUCGCAAAUCCCCCAUUUAACCCGAAAAUCACGCGUUUUCUCUUCGAGAAUUUUCCAUUUAAGGGAAAAUCACGCAUUUUCUCUUUGCAAAUCUCCCAUUUAAGCGAAAAUCACACGUUUUCUCUUCGCAAAUCCCCCAUUUAAGCGAAAAUCACGCGUUUUCUCUUCGCAAAUCCCCCAUUUAAGCGAAAAAUCACGCGUAUUCUCUUCGCAAAUCCCCCAUUUUAGCGAAAAUCACGCGUUUUCUCUUCGCAAAUCCCCCAUUUAAGCGAACAUCACGCGUUUUCUCUUCGCAAAUCCCCCAUUUAACCCGAAAAUCACGCGUUUUCUCUUCGCAAAUCCCCCAUUUAACCCGAAAAUCAAGCGUUUUCUCUUCGCAAAUCCCCCAUUUAACCCGAAAAUCACGCGUUUUCUCUUCGCAAAUCCCCCAUUUAAGCAAAAAUCACGCGUUUUCUCGUCGCAAAUCCCCCAUUUAAGCAAAAAUCACGCGUUUUCUCUUCGCAAAUCCCCCAUGUUACCCGAAAAUCACGCGUUUUCUCUUCGAGAAUCCCCCAUUUAAGUGAAAAUCACGCGUUUUCUCUUCGCAAAUCCCCCAUUUAACCCGAAAAUCACGCGUUUUCUCUUCGAGAAUCCCCCAUUGAACCCGAAAAACACACGUUUUCUCUUCGCAAAUCCCCCAUUUAAGCAAAAAUCACGCGUUUUCUCUUCGCAAAUCCCCCAUUUAACCAAAAAUCACGCGUUUUCUCUUCGCAAAUCCCCCAUUUAAGCGAAAAUCAUGCGUUUUCUCUUCGCAAAUCCCCCAUUUAAGCCGAAAAUCACGCGUUUUCUCUUCGAGAAUCCCCCAUUUAACCCAAAAAUCAUGCGUUUUCUCUUCGAGAAUCCCCCAUUUAAGCGAAAAUCACGCGUUUUCUCUUCGCAAAUCCCCCAUUUAACCCGAAAAUCACGCGUUUCCUCUUUAGAAUCCCCACUUUAACUUAAAAAUCACGCAUUUUCUCUUCGCAAAUCCCCCAUUUAAGCAAAAAUCACGCGUUUUCUCUUCGCAAAUCCCCCAUUUAAGCAAAAAUCACGCGUUUUCUCUUCGAGAAUUUUCCAUUUAACCCGAAAAUCACGCAUUUUCUCUUUGCAAAUCUCCCAUUUAAGCGAAAAUCACACGUUUUCUCUUCGCAAAUCCCCCAUUUAAGCGAAAAAUCACGCGUAUUCUCUUCGCAAAUCCCCCAUUUUAGCGAAAAUCACGCGUUUUCUCUUCGCAAAUCCCCCAUUUAAGCGAACAUCACGCGUUUUCUCUUCGCAAAUCCCCCAUUUAAGCGAAAAUCACGCGUUUUCUCUUCGCAAAUCCCCCAUUUAACCCGAAAACCACGCGUUUUCUCUUCGCAAAUCCCCCAUUUAUGCAAAAAUCACGCGUUUUCUCUUCGAGAAUCCCCCAUUUAACCAAAAAUCACGCGUUUUCUCUUUGAGAAUCCCCCAUUUAACCCGAAAAUCACGCGUUUUCUCUUUGCAAAUCCCCCAUUUAAGCAAAAAUCACGCGUUUUCUCGUCGCAAAUCCCCCAUUUAACCCGAAAAUCACGCGUUUUCUCUUUGAGAAUCCCCCAUUUAAGCGAAAAUCACGCGUUUUCUCUUCGCAAAUCCCCCAUUUAAGCGAAAAUCACGCGUAUUCGCUUCGCAAAUCCCCCAUUUAACCCAAAAAUCACGCGUUUUCUCUUCGAGAAUCCCCCAUUUAACCCGAAAAUCACACGUUUUCUCUUCGAGAAUCCCCCAUUUAACCCGAAAAUCACGCGUUUUCUCUUCGCAAAUCCCCCAUUUAAGCAAAAAUCACGCAUUUUCUCUUCGCAAAUCCCCGAUUUAACCCAAAAAUCACGCGUUUUCUCUUCGCACAUCCCCCAUUUAAUCGAAAAUCACGCGUUUUCUCUUUGCAAAUCUCCCAUUUAAGCGAAAAUCACGCGUUUUCUCUUCGCAAAUCCCCCAUUUAACCCGAAAAUCACGCGUUUUCUCUUCGCAAAUCCCCCAUUUAAGCGAAAAAUCACGCGUUUUCUCUUCGCAAAUCCCCCAUUUAAGCGAAAAUCACGCGUUUUCUCUUCGCAAAUCCCCCAUUUAAGCGAACAUCACGCGUUUUCUCUUCGCAAAUCCCCCAUUUAACCCGAAAAUCACGCGUUUUCUCUUCGCAAAUCCCCCAUUUAACCCGAAAAUCACGCGUUUUCUCUUUGCAAAUCCCCCAUUUAACCCGAAAAUCACGCGUUUUCUCGUCGCAAAUCCCCCAUUUAAGCAAAAAUCACGCGUUUUCUCUUCGCAAAUCCCCCAUUUAACCCGAAAAUCACGCGUUUUCUCUUCGCAAAUCCCCCAUUUAACCCGAAAAUCACGCGUUUUCUCUUCACAAAUCCCCCAUUUAAGCGAAAAUCACGCGUUUUCUCUUCGCAAAUCCCCCAUUUAACCCAAAAAUCACGCGUUUUCUCUUCGAGAAUCCCCCAUUUUACUCUAAAAUCACGCGUUUUCUCUUCGCAAAUCCCCCAUUUAAGCGAAAAUCACGCGUUUUCUUAUUG
Molecule: long non-coding RNA, 10115 nt
Filed under: Gallus gallus (chicken)
Lineage: Eukaryota; Metazoa; Chordata; Aves; Galliformes; Phasianidae
Description: lncRNA (ENSGALG00010028684.1)
Source: RNAcentral